CCUUUGCUGAUCCCGAGAUGUGGCAGUUGAUCAGGGAAGAGAAAGAGAGAAAAAAGGAGACCUAGAGUUAAUUGCAUCUGAGAUUCUGUGUAUCUCCAUCUCUUCAAGGUGAACCACAUAAUCAUGCAAUCGCUGGUGUAGCUGUCGCUUUGAAAGAGGCCACAUCAAAUGAAUUCCGAGCUUAUUGUGAACAAGUCUUGAAAAACGCCAAAGCUUUUGCCGAUGCGUUAGUGGCCAAGGGAUAUUCAUUGGUCUCUGGUGGAACCGAUAAUCAUCUUUUACUAUUGAAUUUACGAGAUAAAGGACUUGACGGUGCAAGAUUAGAGGCUCUUCUCAAUCACUGUGACAUAAUUGGUAAUAAAAACACUUGUCCUGGCGACGAAUCUGCUCUAUUCCCUGGUGGAAUCCGACUUGGUGCUCCCGCUUUGACUACUCGAAACUUUGUGGAAUCAGAUUUUACCAAAGUGGCCGAUUUUAUCGAUAAAGGUGUUCAGUUGUCUCUCAAAGUUAAAGUUUUCUGUGAUUAGUUCAUUUGCAUUGAUUUUCAACUAAAUUUCUCCGUCAAAGUUUCUAAUUUUUAAUCAAAACUUUAAUUUCUUCAUUUUUAAAUAGGUAAAACUGUCAAUGAUUUCAAGAAAUUCAUCAUCACCGACGAGGAAACAAUUAAGAAUAUCGCUGACAUUAGAAGACGUGUAAACGAGUGGGCAAGCACAUUCCCAAUGCCUGGUUACGAUGAUCAUUAAUUGUUCACAAUUAACCUAUCAAAUAAGAGGCAUCAUAACAAUCAUCAUCUAAAGGGAUCGGAAAAAUUUACAGAAUUGAGGUUAACCAGAGAAAGUUUUUCACUAAUUAGUGCCAUUUAACUAACUAAUAUUUUAUUGAGCUUAUCACCAGUCAUCCAAAAAUAUUAACAAUUAAACGAUGACAAAUUAUCAACUUCAAAUUGAUAAUAAUUUUGUUGAUUGUUAAAAAAAACCCUGAUUAGUUUGAUGCAAAAACAUUCAAGUAUUUUGACACUUUUCAUACAAACAAUUAAAAAAAAUGAUUCAGUUAA
Long non-coding RNA from Panonychus citri (citrus red mite), 1054 nucleotides. RefSeq lists it as uncharacterized. The transcript is spliced from 2 exons. The record is from RefSeq and is a predicted model, not a curated record. Lineage: Eukaryota; Metazoa; Arthropoda; Arachnida; Trombidiformes; Tetranychidae.